AGUCUAGAUUAUGUGUUGGUGUUCCACACAAAAUAGUACUGAGGGUAGAAAUCCAAGAAAUGGCCAACAUGUUUGUUUGCCUGUAAGAACAACCGCCCCAGCUAAGACACUCAGCUAACUAGGACACGAGUACCACAUGAAUGUUAAGUGCCCUAAGACUCUCCCCAAUAUGGAAGAGGGAGUCUCAGUCCUGGGGAUCAGAUGUUCCCAGGAUGGGGAUCUUGGCCUUACCUUUUUCUCCUCUUCUCAUCUAGCUCCAGUUUUGCAUGCCUCUUUGAAAACACACUGUCAUCCAGGUUCUGGAAGAGGAACAGCAGGGUGUCUUCAAACACCAAGGAAUCUUACUCUUCCACAUCCAACAGACGGAGAAGGAAGCUCCCAACCAGCCACCAUCCCACCAAUCCCCAACCCAGGCCCGGCCAGCAAUUCCUAAUCUACUCACCAGCCAAGACUGAAGUUUCUCCUGCAACACUUGAUGGCAUCAGACACCCUAAAUAAUGCAGGAAAGAAGAAUCAUCUCAGUGGUGGUUUCCCUGCAACAGUUGAUGGCCAAGGAUACCAAACCUUAAACUCAGAACAUGGCAGGUGAGUAAAAGUCGACCCUAGUUGUCAAAUAAAUAGACGAGUGUUCUCAGCACUUACAGACGGAGUCUUCUUAAAGUUCCUCCUCCCUCCACACAAACUACCUUGCUGGUCCAGCCUGAACAACACACACAAAGACUUGGGCUUCCUUAGGAUAAGUCAUUGAGACUUCCUCUUGAGAUAGGGGCGUCAUACAAUAAGGGUUCACACAUUUAUGCAGAACUCCGGCUCCUCAAGAGACUGGGAUCUCCCAGUCAGUCACACUCCCUCAUAGUGUUAAGCCCACAAUCUCAGAUGUGUUUGGAACUUGCUCUACUAGAG
Long non-coding RNA from Peromyscus eremicus (cactus mouse), 903 nucleotides. RefSeq lists it as uncharacterized. The transcript is spliced from 3 exons. Lineage: Eukaryota; Metazoa; Chordata; Mammalia; Rodentia; Cricetidae. The record is from RefSeq and is a predicted model, not a curated record.